RNAcentral lists this ribosomal RNA (289 nucleotides) under uncultured Massilia sp. Its description in RNAcentral is "partial 16S ribosomal RNA". Lineage: Bacteria; Pseudomonadati; Pseudomonadota; Betaproteobacteria; Burkholderiales; Oxalobacteraceae. The record is from RNAcentral.
CUACCCGGGUAUCUAAUCCUGUUUGCUCCCCACGCUUUCGUGCAUGAGCGUCAAUCUUGACCCAGGGGGCUGCCUUCGCCAUCGGUGUUCCUCCACAUCUCUACGCAUUUCACUGCUACACGUGGAAUUCUACCCCCCUCUGCCAGAUUCUAGCCUUGCAGUCUCCAUCGCAAUUCCCAGGUUGAGCCCGGGGAUUUCACGACAGACUUACAAAACCGCCUGCGCACGCUUUACGCCCAGUAAUUCCGAUUAACGCUUGCACCCUACGUAUUACCGCGGCUGCUGGCAC